GACGAACGCUGGCGGCGUGCUUAACACAUGCAAGUCGAACGAUGAACCCGGAGCUUGCUCCGGUGGAUUAGUGGCGAACGGGUGAGUAACACGUGAGUAACCUGCCCUUGACUCUGGGAUAACUGCGGGAAACUGUAGCUAAUACCGGAUACGACCCUCGGCGGCAUCGCCAGGGGGUGGAAAGAAUUUCGGUCAAGGAUGGACUCGCGGCCUAUCAGCUAGUUGGUGAGGUAACGGCUCACCAAGGCGACGACGGGUAGCCGGCCUGAGAGGGUGACCGGCCACACUGGGACUGCGACACGGCGCAGACUCCGACGGGAGGCAGCAGUGGGGAAUAGUGCACAAUGGGCGCAAGCCUGAUGCAGCGACGCCGCGUGAGGGAUGACGGCCUUCGGGUUGUAAACCUCUUUCAGCACCGACGAAGCGCAAGUGACGGUAGGUGCAGAAGAAGGACCGGCCAACUACGUGCCAGCAGCCGCCGUAA
This 484-nucleotide ribosomal RNA is filed under the name uncultured bacterium. Its description in RNAcentral is "partial 16S ribosomal RNA". It matches the Rfam family "Bacterial small subunit ribosomal RNA", at positions 28 to 523 of the family's 1533-position model. The record is from RNAcentral.